GGUCAAGCUACAAAGGGCUCACGGCGGAUACCUUGGCACACAGAGGCGAUGAAGGACGUGGUUACCUGCGAUAAGUCUCGGGGAGCUGGAAACACGCUUUGAUCCGGGAAUUUCCGAAUGGGGCAACCCUUAGAACGGCCAGCUGAAUCUAUAGGCUGGCGCGAGCCAACCCAG
Molecule: ribosomal RNA, 174 nt
Filed under: uncultured cyanobacterium
Lineage: Bacteria; Bacillati; Cyanobacteriota
Description: partial 23S ribosomal RNA
Rfam family: Bacterial large subunit ribosomal RNA
Source: RNAcentral